RNAcentral lists this ribosomal RNA (468 nucleotides) under uncultured bacterium. RNAcentral describes it as "partial 16S ribosomal RNA". The stretch from base 13 to 352 matches the Rfam family "Bacterial small subunit ribosomal RNA", at positions 40 to 399 of the family's 1533-position model. The record is from RNAcentral.
GACGAACGCUGGCGGCGUGCUUAACACAUGCAAGUCGAACGGAAAGGCCCUGCUUUUGUGGGGUGCUCGAGUGGCGAACGGGUGAGUAACACGUGAGUAACCUGCCCUUGACUUUGGGAUAACUUCAGGAAACUGGGGCUAAUACCGGAUAGGAGCUCCUGCUGCAUGGUGGGGGUUGGAAAGUUUCGGCGGUUGGGGAUGGACUCGCGGCUUAUCAGCUUGUUGGUGGGGUAGUGGCUUACCAAGGCUUUGACGGGUAGCCGGCCUGAGAGGGUGACCGGGCCCAAUGGGGAAGGGGAAGCGCCCGGAGUGCCUCGGGGGGGAAGGAGGGGGGAUUUUGCGAGCAGGGCCGGGGGCCUGAGGAAGGAAUCCGGGUGGGGGGACGCGGGUUUUGGGGUGGAAAACUGGUUUGCCUGGGAAGCACGGGUAGGGACGGGAAAGGGGAAAAGAAGGACGGGUAAAUUCGUG